GACCCGGUGGCAUAACUGGUAAUGCGCACAUUUACGGUGGGAAGGGCGACCGGUAAUCUGUAAAUGCAAGACCCUCGUUCGAUUCGAGGUCAGGUUG
Mycena alexandri is the source of this 97-nucleotide non-coding RNA. Lineage: Eukaryota; Fungi; Basidiomycota; Agaricomycetes; Agaricales; Mycenaceae. The record is from the annotation of a GenBank genome assembly.